AACGAACGCUGGCGGCAUGCCUAACACAUGCAAGUCGAACGAGACCUUCGGGUCUAGUGGCGCACGGGUGCGUAACGCGUGGGAACCUGCCCUUAGGUUCGGAAUAACUCCCCGAAAGGGGUGCUAAUACCGGAUAAUGUCUUCGGACCAAAGAUUUAUCGCCUUUGGAUGGGCCCGCGUUGGAUUAGCUAGUUGGUAGGGUAAAAGCCUACCAAGGCGACGAUCCAUAGCUGGUCUGAGAGGAUGAUCAGCCACACUGGGACUGAGACACGGCCCAGACUCCUACGGGAGGCAGCAGUGGGGAAUAUUGGAAGAUGGGCGAAAGCCUGAUCCAGCAAUGCCGCGUGAGUGAUGAAGGCCUUAGGGUUGUAAAGCUCUUUUACCCGGGAUGAUAAUGACAGUACCGGGAGAAUAAGCUCCGGCUAACUCCGUG
RNAcentral lists this ribosomal RNA (433 nucleotides) under uncultured bacterium. RNAcentral's name for it is "partial 16S ribosomal RNA". It matches the Rfam family "Bacterial small subunit ribosomal RNA", at positions 29 to 507 of the family's 1533-position model. The record is from RNAcentral.